GGGGGAAGAAGAAGAAGAAGAAGAAGAAGAAAGAAAAGAGAAAGGAAAGAAAGAAAAAAAAGUUUUUAACCCUACAAAAAACUUCUACAAAAUUUUUCUCCUUACAAAAAACUUCUACAAAAAUUUUUCAAAAACUUCUACAGUGCACUACAGUAAAGUUUUAGACAAACUCUCAAAAAACUAGGGUUCCAAACAGGCCCUAAGUAAACCGUGCUGUUUGUCUUUCAAUUGUUUAGUCUAUAAGCCUAUUAAUUUUGCCCCUCGUCGAGGUCCUUAAUUCUACCUUACAAUUUAUAUUGUGAACCUAUUAAAUUUUUAUGGUUGGUUUGAAAUAUAUGAUUUUUGGAUGUUUGUAUAAAAUUUUACUAUAACUUAUUGUGAAAUCGACAAAAAAAAAAUUGGGUGUAUUUUUAGGGUUUGGAAAAAUUAAAAAUUUUCCCUUUUUUGUCUUCUUUUUCUUUUCCUUUUUUUCUUUUCUUUCGUUUUUCUUUCCCUUUCUUCCUUCCUUCUCCUUCCUCUCCCACAUCCCCGUACCAGAUUAAAUCAGAGCUCUUCCUCCCUCCCAACUGUCGCGCGGCAGCCUCCUGCCACCACCGGCGGCGAUGGAAACUCCUUUUUUUCCCCUUCUCUAUGUCUCCCUCCCUCUCCUCUUUCGUCUUUCAUCUCUCUUCCCUCCCUCCCUUCUUCUCUUCUCCUAUCUCCUUUCCUCCUCCUUCUCCUCCUCUUUCCUUCACCAGCUCCACUCGAUCAGAGGGGGAGAGGGGGCCGAUGAAAAUGGGGAGGAGGGGGCCAAUGA
RNAcentral lists this long non-coding RNA (796 nucleotides) under Coffea arabica (coffee). RNAcentral's name for it is "long non-coding RNA (CARA_LNC005549)". The record is from RNAcentral. Lineage: Eukaryota; Viridiplantae; Streptophyta; Magnoliopsida; Gentianales; Rubiaceae.